RNAcentral lists this ribosomal RNA (205 nucleotides) under uncultured bacterium. RNAcentral describes it as "partial 16S ribosomal RNA". It matches the Rfam family "Bacterial small subunit ribosomal RNA", at positions 524 to 726 of the family's 1533-position model. The record is from RNAcentral.
UACGAAGGGGCUAGCGUUGUUCGGAAUUACUGGGCGUAAAAGCGCGCGCAGGCGGCCAUUCAAGUCAGGGGUGAAAGCCCAGAGCUCAACUCUGGAACUGCCCUUGAAACUGUAUGGCUUGAGUAUGAGAGAGGUGAGUGGAAUUCCCAGUGUAGAGGUGAAAAUGCGUAGAUAUCGGAAAGGAACAUCAGUGGCGAAAGCGACU